CAUCUCCCCAUCUGAGAAUCAGAGCACCUCACCGUCCUCAUAUGAGCCUGUGGUUUAUCAACGCAGCUCCAGCUAAGGGCUCUGAGUCUGAUUCUCUAUGAUCUGCUGAUUGUGGGAACAUGGCAAAGGUUGUUUAAGGGGGGGGCUGGGCUGGGCCCCUGCCACUGACAGACAGAAAGAAGGUGGCUGGUGGGGGGAGAAAAAGCUGCACCCUGAUCG
RNAcentral lists this long non-coding RNA (219 nucleotides) under Bos taurus (domestic cattle). Its description in RNAcentral is "long non-coding RNA NONBTAT022394". The record is from RNAcentral. Lineage: Eukaryota; Metazoa; Chordata; Mammalia; Artiodactyla; Bovidae.